RNAcentral lists this long non-coding RNA (1609 nucleotides) under Homo sapiens (human). RNAcentral describes it as "HSALNT0326645". Lineage: Eukaryota; Metazoa; Chordata; Mammalia; Primates; Hominidae. The record is from RNAcentral.
CUCAACUGCAAGAGGCAUUCCUUCCUCUUUUACUAAUCCUCCUCAGCACAGACCCUUUACGGGUGUUGGGCUGGGGGACGGUCAGGUCUUUCCCUUCCCACGAGGCCAUAUUUCAGACUAUCACAUGGGGAGAAACCUUGGACAAUACCUGGCUUUCCUAGGCAGAGGUCCCUGCGGUCUUCCGCAGUUUUUGUGUCCCUGGGUACUUGAGAUUAGGGAGUGGUGAUGACUCUUAAGGAGCAUGCUGCCUUCAAGCAUCUGUUUAACAAAGCACAUCUUGCACUGCCCUUAAUCCAUUCAACUCUGAGUUGACACAGCACAUGUUUCAGAGAGCACGGGGUUGGGGGUAAGGUCACAGAAUCUCAAGGCAGAAGAAUUUUUCUUAGUACAGAACAAAAUGGAGUCUCCUAUGUCUACUUCUUUCCACACAGACACGGUAACAAUCUGAUCUCUCUUGCUUUUCCCCACAAGUACCCGUUGAACAUUCCAGGGAACUGAUCCAUAAAUUUAUUUCCAAAAUGUUUUAACUUGGGAACCAAUUACUGGAUAAAUGCUAAGUUACCCUGGUAUAAAUCUGAUAAAAGUGAAUUUUUCAAGCCACACGGUCUCCUUUGUUCAGUAUAUUUUUAAUUUAGUGGUCUCUCUUAAGGGAGGAAUUGAAAUCAACCCUCUGCAACUGGGUCUUAGGCUUAUCUCCAAGAAAUAAAAUCUCACAAGGUUUUGAGGCCUACAGUCUGAAUUCUGACACUGCACAGAACUUAUACAGACAGGGUAGAGACAGGAGACUUACAGGUCUGGUAGUGAGGGAGGCUAGGGUGCGUGGUUUGAAUGUCAAGGGCGUUCUUGGGCUUGCUGCAAACCUCAUUCUGAUUCUUCCAUUUUUUAACUGUUGAACUGAAGUCUAUUUCUCUGCAGGGUUAAGUUAUUCCAGACCAAGGAGAGAAUGAUUCGCUCUUGCCACCCUCCUCAGAUGUGGAGCCACCGGGCAGAUGGUUGGCACUGUGCACAUGGCACUUGCAUACACACACACACACAUGCACACACGCACACACACUCACACACACCUCAACUAAUGUAAAGGUCCCAACAUAAACAUUAGUUCUCACAAGUGCUCCAAGGAUUUUAAAGGCUUUGGUGCUGCAAAAGAUAUUGAGUCAGCUUGUGACAGCUACAAUCCUGCUCCUGUUUCAGGUUUAAGAAAAAAAGAAAGAAAGAAAAAAGGAAACCAUACUCAUUUCUUCCUUCCACAGCUCAGUGAAAUUCCAAAAAAUUAGUAAGAAUCCCUUAGCUUGCCUCAUUGGUAGAAAUGUCUGGUUGGGACAUUCCUUUGGCCACUUUCGCUGAAAACUGCAUACCUCUGGGACUAAAGCAUCCCCACUCCAGUCUCCUGUCUCAAAACUGACUGAGAAUUGUCUACAAAGAUAGGAGGACUCUGUGCAAAAACCCCCCGGAGAAAACAACACAAAACCACACCUGACCCUGCAUAGAGCUUGUAUUUCCAGAGAGAAAACACAGUCUCUGAGAUAGUAUUAGGUUGGUGCAAAAGUAAUUGCGUUUUUUAUAAUUACUUUUAAUGGCAAGAUCUUUUUUUUUUUUUUUUUUUUUUUUU